This 76-nucleotide transfer RNA is filed under the name Gammaproteobacteria bacterium. Its description in RNAcentral is "tRNA-Phe". It matches the Rfam family "tRNA". From Rfam's summary of the family: Transfer RNA (tRNA) molecules are approximately 80 nucleotides in length. Their secondary structure includes four short double-helical elements and three loops (D, anti-codon, and T loops). The record is from RNAcentral. RNAcentral also lists the same sequence under 2 other names. Lineage: Bacteria; Pseudomonadati; Pseudomonadota; Gammaproteobacteria.
GGCCAGGUAGCUCAGUUGGUAGAGCAGGGGACUGAAAAUCCCCGUGUCGGCGGUUCGACUCCGUCCCUGGCCACCA